UCUCACNGCCAUGGCCCAGGUGAGACGCCCGGUCCCAUUCCGAACCCGGAAGCUAAGGCCUGGCACGGCGAUGGUACUGCACCCGACAGGGUGUGGGAGAGUAGCACGCCGCCGCAU
Molecule: ribosomal RNA, 117 nt
Filed under: Bifidobacterium longum
Lineage: Bacteria; Bacillati; Actinomycetota; Actinomycetes; Bifidobacteriales; Bifidobacteriaceae
Source: RNAcentral